GACAGAGGUGCCGAGCGUUAGGCGGAAUCACUGGGCUUAAAGGGUGCGUAGGUGGGUUGGUAAGUCAGUGGUGAAAUCCCCGAGCUUAACUUGGGAACUGCCAUUGAUACUAUCAGUCUUGAAUACCGUGGAGGUCAGCGGAAUAUGUCAUGUAGCGGUGAAAUGCUUAGAUAUGACAUAGAACACCAAUUGCGAAGGCAGCUGGCUACUCGGAUAUUGACACUGAGGCACGAAAGCGUGGGGAUCAAACAGG
RNAcentral lists this ribosomal RNA (253 nucleotides) under uncultured bacterium. RNAcentral describes it as "partial 16S ribosomal RNA". It matches the Rfam family "Bacterial small subunit ribosomal RNA", at positions 524 to 776 of the family's 1533-position model. The record is from RNAcentral.